Non-coding RNA from Rattus norvegicus (Norway rat), 3524 nucleotides. The record is from RefSeq and is a predicted model, not a curated record. NCBI's taxonomy places the organism in Eukaryota, Metazoa, Chordata, Mammalia, Rodentia, Muridae.
UCCUCUUGGUUUCCUUUUGUUGACUUAUUGCUUGUUAGAACUUCAAGGACUAUACUGAAUAGAUUGGAAGAGAGUGGACAGCCUUUUCUUGUCCCUGAUAUAGUAGGAUUGCUUUAAGUUUCUCUCUAUUUAAUUUGAUAUUGGCUGUUGGUUUGUGGCGGUAUAUUGCUUUUCUUAUGUUUAGCUGAACAGCAUUCCAUGGUGAACAUGUACAACAUUUUUAUUGUCCAUUCGAUGAUUAAAGGGCAUUUCUAUUUCCUAGCUAUUGUGAAUAAAGCAGCAUUGAACGUGACUGAGCACUUUGGAUAGGAUGUCAAGUAAGUCCCUUAGGCAUAUGUUAAGAAGUGCUUGGGGCUGGAGAGACAGCCCAGUGGUUAAGAGUGCUCACUGCUCUAGCAGAGGACCCAGGUUUCAUUCCCAACACCCACACUGUAUCUCACAAUUGCUGUAACUUCAGUUCCAGGGCAUCUGACAUUCUCUUCUGGUCUCCACUGGCCACAUGCACGAAGUAAAUAUCAACACACACACACACACACACACACACACACACACACACACACACACUAAAUACAUCCUUUAAAAAAAAAGAAAGUGCUACCAGUGAGUCAUCUGAUAGCUUCAUUUCUAGACUUUCGGUGAUUCUCCACAUUGAUUUACAGAUCUGCAAUACCAUCAACAUGAAUGAGGGCUCCCUUUUCCCCUACACCCCUUCCAGCAUUUGAUGUCAGCUGUUUGGAUUAUCUUUUUCCAUUGUGAUAGGGGUAAGAUGAAAUCUCCAAGGUGUUUUAAUUUUCAUUUCCUAAUUGCUAGGGAUGAUUGGAAAAUUUUUGAGAGCCUUUUCCUCCCGUUGCUUUUGAGAGCUCUCUGAUAGGUGCCAGGCCCAUUUUCUUAAUGAACCACUUGGUUUUUUAUUUUUUAAUUUAUUGUUUGUUUGUUUUAUUUGUUUUUAAGCUCUUUAUGCAUUCUAGCUAAUCCUCUGUCAGAUAGAGAGCUGACCAAGAUUCUGUCCCAUUCCGCGGGUUUCCUCUUUAUUGGGUUGAUUGUUCUUUAUCUGUGCAGAACUUUGUAGAUUUAUGAAGUCCCACUUGUCAAUUAUUGGCCUUAGAUCUUGGGCAAAGGGAGUCCUAGUCAGAAAGCCCAUUUCCAUGUCUGUAUCUGCUUAUGAUUCCUUUAGUUUCAAUGUUUCAGGUUUCACAUUUAGGUCUUUGAUUUAUUUGGAGACUUUGUGCAGUGAUAGAUACAGAUCUAACUUUAUUUUUCUGCAUAUGGAUAUCCAGUUUCCCCAGCACAAUUUGUUAAAGAUUUUGUCUGUUUAUAGGUUAUGUUUAGCAACUUUGUCAGAUAUUAAACAGCUGACGUUACAUGUAUUCGUUUUGGGAUUUUGAUCUUAUUCCAUUGGUCUACACAUCUAGUUUUGUGUACCAUAUUGUUUUUAUUCCUAUGGUUGUAUAAUAUAUCUUAAUAUUGGGAAUGAGAAACACAGGUGAUGGGAGAAACUCAAAUCUGUAAGCUGACUCUAUCUUGAGCCUGCUUGUCCACCUUUUGAACCCUGAUUAAUAAAAAUACCAGGAAGAAACUGCCCUGAACCCGAGCCAAAGAAAAAGUGCCUAAAAUUACAGAGGUUAUAGAUCUCUUGCUCAAAGUGUCCGAAGUCAUCACUGACCAAUCCCUGUGCACCCAGGAUACCCCUUGCCAAAUAAGGUAACUGCUAGGCUAGACAUCCUCCCCGCAAUUCCCUGCUUAAACUAAUAUAAAUCCCUGCCUAUUUGAGGCUUCUGGCUCUCAGCACUGAUCUGCUCCAUUGGAGGAGUCUGGGGGUCCAGGCUUAAGUUCUUUGCUUUUGCAUACAUAUUUGAACUCCUGGUGGUUUUUGGGAACCAUGAAAACUGGGUGCAACAGGAAUGGUAAACCUCCAGCAUUGUUGUUCUUGUUCAGGAUUGUUUUGGCUAUCUGAGGUCUUUUGUAACUCUACAGUCAGCCUGUGUCUUUGGAUCAGAGAAUUGAAGACAAUUGUCAUAGUUGAUGUUCUAUUGCUGUGAAGAGACAAGAUGGAACUCUCAUAAAGGCAAACGUUUAGUUGGGGUGGACUUAGCGGUUCAGAGGUUUAGUCCAUUAUCAUCAUGGUGGGAACUGUGGCAGCAGGCAGACAAACAUGAGGCUGGAGAAGGAGAGAGAGUUCUAAAUCUGGAUCAGCAGGCAGCAGGAAGAGAGAGACAGACGUGUUGUGCCUCCUUUGCAAGCCCCCAAAGCCAACCAGGAACCGACUCUGGUACAAUCACAUUACAGUCUCUUUAUUACAGUUACAUCAGGGUCAAAUUCCACUGACCCACGGGACAGUUUGGUGAAGCUCUCAGCGGAACAAGGUUUUAUAAGAAAUGGGAGCGAGUGAGAGGGUGUCCAUUCUGGCAAGCAUCUAAUGAAUGACUAUUGUAAGCCAACCGGUGGGUGCUCUGAAGCAAGAUCGUAUGUAAUCACAAAUGGUCUGAAAGUACAUCUGGAACGAUCAGACUCAUCUUUGAUUAUCUGUUGCUAGGAAGUAGCUAGAGAAUAACUCUGGCCAGGGACAAACUCUGAGGUUCUUCCUGAUACUUGGGUGCUAUUUCGGUUCAGCGGCCAGUUCGUUUAUGUUUUUGUUUUUUUUGUUUUUGUUUUUGUUUUUUUUAAAUGGAGCGUGGUCCCAAGCUGGAGUAGGUAUUUAAAACCUCAGAGCUCACCCUUGUUACAGGAUAUUUGAUUAUUGUACAUAGAAAACCGAAUUGUUAACAAAAUAUAAAGCUUAAACAGAUGAAAGAUGCAGUUAAGCAUGUCCUGAAGAGAAGCAGUUGAGGUGUGCCUCUAAAAGCCUCCAUAUAUAAGAAUGCUAAAGAAUGAAACGUUCUGGGCGACUCCCAUCUGUAAUGAGAUCUGUUGCCCUCUUCUGGUGUGAAUAAUUCUAAAAAAAGAAAGAUAUCAUGUGGAUUUCAAUUGCAUUAAAAAGAAUGAAAAGUUCCUGCCCAAGGUAAGGUGCUUGGGAGAAGUCCUGUCUAUGAUCUAAGGCAAAGUCAGUUGGAUAGCCUUGAGCUACCCCACUGUAAACUUGAAAUGGUUCAUCCUUACUUGGCUUGGAGUCCUGUGCCCCAUGAUGGUGACAUGGUUUAGCCUGCCAAAGGUGUAGGCAAGCUAGAGAUUUCUUUGAUAAGCAAUUAGUUUGGCUUGGAAAAGCCUUCAUGGAAGAGAUAGGGGUUUUCUCUUUGGGCUUUCAGGAACAAUAGAGAAGCAGCUGGCUGGACACAGGUCUAGGAAAGAGAGCUAAGGAGCCCUCUUAGGUUUGGAGGAGCUCAAGGACAAUGUGACUAGCUAGCUCAGUAGGACGAUAGCUAGCAGUUCAGUUGUAGCAUCAUCGGGCUUACAGAAGAUAUUUUAUAUAUAGUUAAGAAAACACGGGGUUGGGGAUUUAGCUCAGUGGUGGAGCGCUUGCCUAGGAAGCGCAAGGCCCUGGGUUCAGUCCCCAGCUCUGAAAAAAAGAACCAAAAGAAAAAAGAAAA